GAAUGUCGGUUGCAUUUGGAUCCUUUUCUUUGUUUAUUUGUUGAUUAAAUUUGAUACUUAAGGACUGUCAACAAACUCCCCCAAACUUACCUCUUGCUCGUCCCUGAGCAAGGAUAAUCUCAGUGAUGGAUCAGAAGUUGUUGGAAUGCCUUUAAAAGUUGAUGGUACACAUGCUUUCAAAUAAGGUCUCAUCUCUGAGUUAGAGUAAACUAUCAAGACUCAAAACUUACUCAUUUUACCUUUCACCAUGGGACAUGUAACCGUCCCUUCUGUCUUGAGCAGUUAAAAGAUAGAACGGUCGUCAAGUGCCAUGUCUCUUAUUCUUGAUCAGCUAUAGCUCUGGAGUUUUUGCAGAUUUUCAAAUAAAACUCCGAGAUUCCUUGUAUGACUCUCUGAGAUCUCUCUUUUGUGGUAUUUCUAGAUCCUUACCAAGGCAGUGAUGGUACAUGCCUUCUCUCAAAAUAUGUAGUAUUUGUGGUAUAAGGCAUAGUGACAUUGCCUUCUCUCUCACCCUACUCUAAUAAGGCUUUUGAUAUCUGGAGCUCAUAGGUGGGAAAUAAAGUAUACAUACUUUCAAGACAUUUAUUGCAUAGUCAAACUGUGGAUCCAAAGAAACAAGCCAAUAAGUCAAAUCAAGAUGUGCAUGUGUGGUGAAUGAAUGGUGUAUGGUGAUGAUGGUGAUAAUAAUGGUGAAAGUCUAAUUCUACUUAUUGCUCUUUUGAGGGGAUACAUACCUUUCUUGCUCUUUUGAAACUUUUGAGUAGAAUGAGAUGCUCUGUAUUUUCUUUUUCUUUCCUCUCGGGUGGGUAUCUUGUUCCCCUAAUUCUACUAUCGGACACUUGUCCAUUUUUACCUCUAGUCUCACUUUUUUCUUUCUUUCGAGGUUCCGGGCACUUGCCCUUUUUUAUUUCCUCGUAUUUUUUUGUUUUUUUAGAGCACUCAUCUCCUGAAAUAAUAUAGCAAGUGGUAGUAACCAAGAUAACUCGAGCAUUUAUUUCACAGGUGAAAAAUAGAAAUAUUUUUUGCUAUUCUCUCCCGGAUUAGGAGUAGAAUAUUUUUUGGGUGGUUCUGGAGAUGGAAAUGGAUGGAUAUAUGUGGAUGCUUACUUCCGGAGUAGAAGCAGCAUGUGUGAGUGAACGUGCAAGUGAAUCUUGAUUUAACCACAUGACAAGCUCCUAAGGGUCUACAUAGCUUGAGCACACUCAAUGCUCAUAAGCAGUAAAAAGUAAAUAUGUGGCUCAAAGUCUAGCAAUCAUGUAUAUAUGGCUAUGGUAGGAAUUUAAACUCUCAUCAUACAGGAACUCAUCAUGUGUUAUUUUAAAGAUUUUCAAAGAUAAAGUUCUCCAGAAUUCUAGCAUCUCUAAGAACAGAUAAACAACAGCUCAACCUUCCCAUAUCAUAUCCGUUAACAACUUAGACUUUAGAUCAAGUUUUCUUCCCACAAGUUCAGGUUUAGAGCAAGCUUUAAAUUAUAACAGUUAUGUCUAAACUAGAGAGAGAACUUCAAAUUUGAAAUUUAGGCAGAGCAAUGUAACAUCCACGAUGUUACGGUUACUAAAAUUGGAUCAUGUCAUCAUGAGCAUUGCAUCGCAUACCUGUUAAGCACAUUAUUAUGCAUCAACUUAAAAUAAGUUUAAUUUGGUUGAAUGUGUUAGGGAAUUAAAGUGUGCUUACAUUGUGUAGUGAUGCUUGUGCUGGUUGCUAAAACCCUAGGGUGAAAGGUUUCCGAAAGAUUAGGGGGGGAAAACCCUGAUUUUUGAACCCUAGAAUUGCCCCCUUUUGCACAAUUUAAAAACCAAGCAAAAUUUGAGGUUGAGUUCAAAAGAAAAGUUGUAGCUCUUGUCAAGAUGUACAACUUUGGUGUUUUGAGUUUUUGAAGUUUCAAUACAAAAUUCAAAGUAAUUUUGAAAAUACAGAUUUCCACAAAGUGUCCCCUUUUCUAGUUUGAAUCUCCAAUUCAAAUCUAUUUG
Molecule: long non-coding RNA, 1970 nt
Filed under: Sorghum bicolor (sorghum)
Lineage: Eukaryota; Viridiplantae; Streptophyta; Magnoliopsida; Poales; Poaceae
Description: long non-coding RNA (SBIC_LNC006510)
Source: RNAcentral